Molecule: long non-coding RNA, 2827 nt
Organism: Felis catus (domestic cat)
Lineage: Eukaryota; Metazoa; Chordata; Mammalia; Carnivora; Felidae
Exons: 2
Source: RefSeq, a predicted model, not a curated record
AGUGGGAAUUUGGUGGGGAGGGAAAGAACAGAAAGGGGAGGGCACGUGGAGGAAGGGGGAGAGGCAGGAAGAGCAGCGGGGUGUCUGGACCAGCCCCUCACACAGCCCAGUGUCAGGCAGGAAGUGGGACUAGGACGCAGCGAGGCCUCAGCCUCCCUGGCACCAGCUAGGGAGUGAGCGACAGGACUCUGCUCCUGGCACAAAAAGGGGGAGAGAGGGCUUCUCAGGCCCUUGGGAAGGAGCAGAGCAUGGCAGCCGCGUCCUCGUGGGCCCCGGAAGAGAGGCCGGAGAGCUUGUGUGACCCAGCUGCUCUAGCCCCGCGCACCGUUUACAUAACAGGGUCCCAUCUCUUGGCCUGGGAGGGAUUGAGAACAGAUGCAGAUUCUUGGAAGGUGGUGCAUUUGGGUCAGACCAAACAAGGGGAACAUGGCUGCCUCUUGCGGGCAGGGGCCUCCCUGAGGCGCUCUGCUGGCCAGGCCCAUCCUAAGCUGCCAUGCGAGCAUCACAGGCGUCUGCAACUACUUGAACACACUCGUCGCUGCCACUGCAGGGACACGGGGCAAACGGGGAGACAGAAGUUCAAGGCACCCAAGGCACAGGGAGAAUGCCUGGUUGUGUUUAGGCACGACCUGAGCCUCUUCCUCAGGAAAGUGGGAAUGAUAACAGGACCCACUCUCAGGGCUCCUGGAAGGACUGAAUCAGAGAAACUGCAGAAAAACCUCACGCGGGGCUUGUAACAGAGCGGCACUCGGCACCUGUCGGCUCUCUCUUGUUUCUCCGGCCCGCAGUAGUGCCAGGAGUAGUAGUUUCGUCACCACCACCACUAUUCCCACUACCAUUCCCAGGCUUCCUCACCCCCCAGGUCUCACGGGGCCGGCCUCAGGCUCCCUCCGCCGGAGUACUGCAGUCAGGACAGAGGCAAGAGAGGAAUGAAAAGGAUCGGUUUUCUGAGAGGAAAUUAAAGGCUCUUUCCCCCUUCCUCCUGUGUUUGCUUGUGCUAAAAAUGUCAGGAGUUCCUAAGCUGGGCUUUUCCCAGGUCGCUGAUGCUUCUGGGUAAAGCGAUGCUGGGCCAGGGGCCCCCCGAGAACAUUCACAAGGACGCAUUUUGUGGCAAGUGGAAGUGAUGACUUUGAACGAGUCUAUUUUGGCUGCUUGCAGGAGCAGGAUGAGACAUGAGGUCUGACUCAUUGCCUAAAACAUGUCUGCAUCUUUCAGAGAGGGGUUUAUGUUGCCAUGUUUACCGGCUGGAAAGACUGAAGAGAAAUAGGUUUAUGUUCCGUUGUCUAAACAAAAUUCAGACGGAGGCCACAGAUGGACUGUUGUAAGGCUGACCUUCUCCCGCUCCCCCUGCUUCCUGCACGCUUGAUUUAAGUCUUCCCUAGCUCUUCAGUUUUUCCCCUGCGAACACUAGGAGGGAACAGCUGGUUCGGAGCUUCUUGAUCCCAGCUAGCUGCAGUCCUGGAGCUCCGGUGCUUUAUCUCCGGGACAGGUGUGGACCUGACCCCGGGGCCACGUCCUCCUCCCCGCCGGCUGGCUGUGGAGGCCAGGGGUACCCCCCAACUACGCACCCCAGGAGAUCUAGAUGGGGCUACCAGGAAGACGGACGGACAUGUCCUCGUGAUGAGGGUAUACUUCCUCUUUCCAGGCUGAGGUGUCCUGAUUUUUGCAAGCCUUAAGAGGACGCCUGAUCCAUGGGGUAGACCUAGGGAAACUCUAACGUGGAAAGAAAUUCCAGAACCUAAGAAGAGAGAGCAUAACCUGACACUUGGUCGAAGUCAUUGUAAUCUGGAUAAAAGGAAGGAUGGCCUCUAGCACAAGACUCCAGAGCUCGGUAUCCUAAGACAUGGUACCAGGGGAAGAAGGAGCUGAUGAGUAUGUGGACGACCCACAAGGCUGGUCUGGAGGAAGAUGGCGGGUUUGGGUAUAUCCCUUGUCAUCCUAGGUUGUUGGGGGCCCAAAUAAAACUCUGCAUCAGGGAGUCCGUGCGCACUGUAGAGGAGAUGCUGUCACUCACUCUUCAUCCUGUCCCAUACCAGCCACAUGUCAUAGAAUGGACAGUCCUGGCUGGUGCUCAGCUGCGGCUGGGACAGUGCUCUGUCCCCACUGCAGAGAAAACUGGGGGUGUGCUCCAGUCUCAGGAGGUGCUAUCAUGAAGGGCGGGGGCCUUCCACCCUUCCACCCUGCUUCCCCAUGUGUGAGGAGGAGCCCUCUGGCCAGGCCAAAGCCCUACGGAUGCGACGAGGGCCUAACAUGGGCUCACAGGGGCCACAUCGCACCUGUGGGGCUUGGAUCCAACAUGGGGACCUGCUCUGCAUGCGGCAGAAGCAGGGCAGAGCGAAUGAAAGUCUCUCCUUGUAGCCGGGCUGUCCCUGACUCGCUGGGCUGGCACCCAUGCUGGACAUCCACCUCCCCACCGGCCAGCUCCUGGCGCCUCUCCAGGGCUUCCUGAGCUGCGAAAGCCUCAGAGGAGAGCUGCUCUGUGCUCAACUUCGUCUGGACCCCGUGGAACCUGUGAUGUGAUGUGUCAAAGAGAUGGAACAGCUCUAUCCCAAGACUUAUUGGAACGUGACCGGACCAUCAGUUGUGACAGGAAAAAGCAGGAAAAGGGUAGCUUUCUGAUGAAGAUUCAGCAGAGGUAACGGAAAGAUUUGCCCACGCCCUGGGGUCAGACAGCCGGGAGUGGAGGGUCCCUGCCGGGCGACUUCUUGUGUUACCCUGGGCAAGUCAUGUAGACACUGAGCCUCUGUCUCCUUACCCUUGAAAAUGAGGGUUCCAUGUGCCUGGCAGUUAGAAGGGGGUCAAUAAACGUCAGUUCUUGUGCCCCUCA